Molecule: ribosomal RNA, 265 nt
Filed under: uncultured prokaryote
Description: partial 16S ribosomal RNA
Rfam family: Bacterial small subunit ribosomal RNA
Source: RNAcentral
UACGUAGGUGGCGAGCGUUGUCCGGAUUUACUGGGCGUAAAGGGAGCGUAGGCGGACUUUUAAGUGAGAUGUGAAAUACCCGGGCUCAACUUGGGUGCUGCAUUUCAAACUGGAAGUCUAGAGUGCAGGAGAGGAGAAUGGAAUUCCUAGUGUAGCGGUGAAAUGCGUAGAUAUUAGGAGGAACACCAGUAGCGAAGGCGGCUCUCUGGACUGUAACUGACGCUCAGGCACGAAGGCGUGGGGAUCAAACAGGAUUAGAUACCCU